Long non-coding RNA from Dreissena polymorpha, 401 nucleotides. RefSeq lists it as uncharacterized. The transcript is spliced from 3 exons. The record is from RefSeq and is a predicted model, not a curated record. Lineage: Eukaryota; Metazoa; Mollusca; Bivalvia; Myida; Dreissenidae.
UGAACGAACCAGUUAUCGAACACAUAGGGAAUUAUGUUAAAAUUGAAACACUUUAAAACAUUAUGUUUUAUCAAAUGACUAAAAGUUUAAUCAUUUAAUAACUUAUCUGUAAAGUGUUCCAGCAAAUAUCCUUUAAGAAUUCAUAACAAUGAUUAAACUUGUCUGUGAACAAGCAGGUUGGACUGAUAGUGAAUUACUGCGCACUCUUCAUUUGCCUAAAUUUGUGAGCUGGUUCAAACCAAGACCUAACCGGCCAGAGGCCUAGGCAUAUGCAACACAUAGACGACACAUGGAGGCUAUAAUCAGCUAAGAAUUCACAGGCGGAUGAAACUUUUAUGACGUUGAUGUACACGAAGAACAAAAUGCAUCUGAUGACAGAGUGGUGCACCAUAUAUUACAGG